ACUUAAAUAGUUUAAAUUAAGAAUUUCAAUUUGUGGUGUUGAAGGUGCAAUUUUUGUUUUAAGUA
Molecule: transfer RNA, 65 nt
Filed under: Haedus sp.
Lineage: Eukaryota; Metazoa; Arthropoda; Insecta; Hemiptera; Tingidae
Description: tRNA-His
Source: RNAcentral